Molecule: ribosomal RNA, 469 nt
Filed under: uncultured bacterium
Lineage: Bacteria
Description: bacterial SSU rRNA
Rfam family: Bacterial small subunit ribosomal RNA
Source: RNAcentral
GACGAACGCUGGCGGCGCGCCUAACACAUGCAAGUCGAACGAGAGAUGAGGAGCUUGCUCUUCAAAUCGAGUGGCGAACGGGUGAGUAACGCGUGAGGAACCUGCCUCAAAGAGGGGGACAACAGUUGGAAAUGACUGCUAAUACCGCAUAAGCCCACGACCCGGCAUCGGGUAGAGGGAAAAGGAGCAAUCCGCUUUGAGAUGGCCUCGCGUCCGAUUAGAUAGUUGGUGAGGUAACGGCUCACCAAGUCGACGAUCGGUAGCCGGACUGAGAGGUUGAACGGCCACAUUGGGACUGAGACACGGCCCAGACUCCUACGGGAAGCAGCAGUGGGGAAUAUUGCACAAUGGGCGAAAGCCUGAUGCAGCAACGCCGCGUGAGGGAAGACGGUUUUCGGAUUGGUAAACCUCUGUUUUCGGUGACGAACAAAUGACGGUAACCGAGUAGGAAGCCACGGCUAACUACGUG